Molecule: ribosomal RNA, 495 nt
Filed under: uncultured bacterium
Lineage: Bacteria
Description: partial 16S ribosomal RNA
Rfam family: Bacterial small subunit ribosomal RNA
Source: RNAcentral
GACGAACGCUGGCGGCGUGCCUAAUACAUGCAAGUAGAACGCUGAAGGAGGAGCUUGCUUCUCCGGAUGAGUUGCGAACGGGUGAGUAACGCGUAGGUAACCUGCCUGGUAGCGGGGGAUAACUAUUGGAAACGAUAGCUAAUACCGCAUAAGAGUAGAUGUCGCAUGACAUUUGCUUAAAAGGUGCAACUGCGCCACUACCAGAUGGACCUGCGUUGUAUUAGCUAGUUGGUGAGGUAACGGCUCACCAAGGCAACGAUACAUAGCCGACCUGAGAGGGUGAUCGGCCACACUGGGACUGAGACACGGCCCAGACUCCUACGGGAGGCAGCAGUAGGGAAUCUUCGGCAAUGGACGGAAGUCUGACCGAGCAACGCCGCGUGAGUGAAGAAGGUUUUCGGAUCGUAAAGCUCUGUUGUAAGAGAAGAACGAGUGUGAGAGUGGAAAGUUCACACUGUGACGGUAUCUUACCAGAAAGGGACGGCUAACUACGUG